This 114-nucleotide ribosomal RNA is filed under the name uncultured bacterium. Its description in RNAcentral is "partial 16S ribosomal RNA". It matches the Rfam family "Bacterial small subunit ribosomal RNA", at positions 557 to 670 of the family's 1533-position model. The record is from RNAcentral.
GGCGUAAAGCGCAUGCAGGUGGUCGAGCAAGGUCGCGGUGAAAGCCCGGGGCUCAACCCCGGGUCGGCCGUGGCAACUACUUGGCUUGAGCACUGUAGAGGGGGGUAGAAUUUC